GUAGGUGAACCUGCGGAAGGAUCAUUAUUGAGUUUACACCCUUGGGAAGGUUGUCGGCUGGCCGCUCUUUAAAGGCAAUGUGCACACCUGUCUCUUGGACUAUACUACUUGACUAUCCUCCUGUGCAUUUCUUGUGGUUUCUCUGCUUUCUGCCCUCUGGGUGGUGAUCAGAAGUGGCCAUGCCCUCAUUUUGUGGACGAGUGUAAUUGAGUGUGCUUGUAAAUUAGUAUCUUUAUACAACUUUCAGCAACGGAUCUCUUGGCUCUCGCAUCGAUGAAGAACGCAGCGAAAUGCGAUAAGUAAUGUGAAUUGCAGAAUUCAGUGAAUCAUCGAAUCUUUGAACGCACCUUGCACUCCUUGGUAUUCUGAGGAGUACGCCUGUUUGAGUGUCAGUUGAAUCGUAACGCACUUGGGAGUUGUUAUGAUUCCCAGGAGGCUGUCUUGAAGUGGGGAGUGCUUGCCUUUUCAUGCCUUUCAUGUUUGUCUGUCAGGUAGUUGAGCCGUUCCUUUUGGUUCUGUGCACACCCUGUUGCGGGCCCUGUCUUGCAUGUUGUUGGGUAGGCUUCUCUGAAAUGCAUUUGUGAGUGUUGCUCGCGGCUUGCUUUGUAGGUGUCAUAUUUGUUUAUGCGCCGGUGAGUCUGCUUGAGUGACCUUGCUGUCUAACCGAUGUCUGAAGGGGCAUUUUGGUGAGUUUGACCUCAAAUCA
Molecule: ribosomal RNA, 706 nt
Filed under: Leucocoprinus sp.
Lineage: Eukaryota; Fungi; Basidiomycota; Agaricomycetes; Agaricales; Agaricaceae
Description: eukaryotic LSU rRNA
Rfam family: 5.8S ribosomal RNA (bases 239-392)
Source: RNAcentral